UACGGAGGAUGCAAGCGUUAUCCGGAAUUAUUGGGCGUAAAGCGUACGUAGGCGGCUUAUCAAGUCUGGGGUCAAAGACCACAGCUUAACUGUGGAAAGGCCUUGGAAACUAGUGAGCUGGAGUGAGGUAGGGGUUGCGGGAAUUCCCGGUGUAGCGGUGAAAUGCGUAGAUAUCGGGAAGAACACCUGAGGCGAAAGCGCGCGACUGGGCCUUAACUGACGCUGAGGUACGAAAGCGUGGGGAGCAAACAGG
This 253-nucleotide ribosomal RNA is filed under the name uncultured bacterium. Its description in RNAcentral is "partial 16S ribosomal RNA". It matches the Rfam family "Bacterial small subunit ribosomal RNA", at positions 524 to 776 of the family's 1533-position model. The record is from RNAcentral.